Molecule: non-coding RNA, 610 nt
Organism: Coturnix japonica (Japanese quail)
Lineage: Eukaryota; Metazoa; Chordata; Aves; Galliformes; Phasianidae
Source: RefSeq, a predicted model, not a curated record
UGGAGAUUGUGUUCUGUGGAGUGCAUGGCAGGCUUUGCUCUUCAGAGAGAGCUCCCUGCCCUCCAGGAGAUCUGCAAGCUUUCACAGACUCAAGGGAUUCCUUCUAAAAGGCAGCCUAACAUAGAAAAGAUAAAUUGAGAAUGGAGCAAAUCUAAAGAAAUAUCCUAAGAGAUCUGAAAUGAAACUCAGGCACAUCAGACAUGCUGGAUUGAUGGAGCUGGGCACUGAUGCACCAGGUCUGUUCCAGCUGUGAUGACCGGGGAAGAAUUGAAUCUGGAUCCUUUUAACCAGUCCUCCAAGAGUAAGAUUUCAGUUACCAUGACUGUUCGCCAAGGACUAUUUUAUUCUAACCCAUGUCAAAUUUGAGCUUACCUAUGGGGCUAAACCACAACCUUGUAAGCCAAGUGUAUCUAAAUACAAACUGAUUUCGCUGUUUGUUACUUUUUGGAAAACUUAGCCACAUACAGUUGUUUGGAACAAUCUCCACAAAACUAAACUUUUCAAGCUUUGCUGAAUUUGAAAUACUGCAUUCUCAUUCCUCUCAGCAUAGAAAGGCAGUCCAGUAGUUCCUUGUUUAUUUUUAAAAAAGCAAAAUGAACAGGAGUUAGAU